GAUGAACGCUGGCUACAGGCUUAACACAUGCAAGUCGAGGGGAAACGACGGGGAAGCUUGCUUCCCCGGGCGUCGACCGGCGCACGGGUGAGUAACGCGUAUCCAACCUGCCUCUGACUGAGGGAUAACCCGUCGAAAGUCGGCCUAAUACCUCAUGGUAUCGUCUGCGGGCAUCCAACGACGAUUAAAGAUUUCAUCGGUCAGGGAUGGGGAUGCGUCUGAUUAGCUUGUUGGCGGGGUAACGGCCCACCAAGGCUACGAUCAGUAGGGGUUCUGAGAGGAAGGUCCCCCACAUUGGAACUGAGAAACGGUCCAAACGCCUACGGGAGGCAGCAGUGAGGAAUAUUGGUCAAUGGGCGAGAGCCUGAACCAGCCAAGUAGCGUGAAGGAAGACGGCCCUAUGGGUUGUAAACUGCUUUGAUGCGGGGAUAAAGUGAGGGACGUGUCCCUCAUUGCGGGUACCGCAUGAAUAAGAACCGGCUAUUCCCG
Molecule: ribosomal RNA, 489 nt
Filed under: uncultured bacterium
Lineage: Bacteria
Description: partial 16S ribosomal RNA
Rfam family: Bacterial small subunit ribosomal RNA
Source: RNAcentral